UACGUAGGCAGCAAGCGUUGUUCGGAAUUACUGGGCGUAAAGAGUGUGUAGGCGGUACUCUAAGUUCGGUGUGAAAUCUCCCGGCUUAACUGGGAGGGUGCGCCGGAAACUGGAGUGCUCGAGCGUGGGAGAGGAAAGCGGAAUUCCUGGUGUAGCGGUGAAAUGCGUAGAUAUCAGGAGGAACACCAGUGGCGAAGGCGGCUAUCUGGACGGUUUCUGACGCUAAGACGCGAAAGCGUGGGGAGCAAACAGG
RNAcentral lists this ribosomal RNA (253 nucleotides) under uncultured bacterium. Its description in RNAcentral is "partial 16S ribosomal RNA". It matches the Rfam family "Bacterial small subunit ribosomal RNA", at positions 524 to 776 of the family's 1533-position model. The record is from RNAcentral.